GGCCUCGUAGCUCAACCGGUAGGGCGUGCACGUACAAAGCGUACACGGCGUCCAUGCGUCAGUUCAAAUCCCACCGAGGCUA
This 82-nucleotide transfer RNA is filed under the name Echinostoma caproni. It matches the Rfam family "tRNA". From Rfam's summary of the family: Transfer RNA (tRNA) molecules are approximately 80 nucleotides in length. Their secondary structure includes four short double-helical elements and three loops (D, anti-codon, and T loops). The record is from Rfam by way of RNAcentral. Lineage: Eukaryota; Metazoa; Platyhelminthes; Trematoda; Plagiorchiida; Echinostomatidae.